GUUUGCACUUGUCGGGGAAGGGUGAGAACCUUCGAUUAAGGUUCGACUUGAGCGAAAGCGAGAGAACGUUGCCAACGGC
RNAcentral lists this small RNA (79 nucleotides) under Salmonella enterica subsp. enterica serovar Reading. Its description in RNAcentral is "partial RtT sRNA". It matches the Rfam family "RtT RNA", at positions 1 to 77 of the family's 130-position model. Rfam says of the family: This family represents a bacterial cis-regulatory element known as RtT RNA. The exact function of RtT is unknown although it is thought that it may be involved in changing the cellular response in relation to amino acid starvation. Lineage: Bacteria; Pseudomonadati; Pseudomonadota; Gammaproteobacteria; Enterobacterales; Enterobacteriaceae. The record is from RNAcentral.